Molecule: ribosomal RNA, 301 nt
Filed under: uncultured bacterium
Lineage: Bacteria
Description: partial 16S ribosomal RNA
Rfam family: Bacterial small subunit ribosomal RNA
Source: RNAcentral
CAGUCGCCGCGGUAAUACGAAGGGGGCUAGCGUUGCUCGGAAUGACUGGGCGUAAAGGGCGCGUAGGCGGAUUGUUUAGUUAGGCGUGAAAUUCCUGGGCUUAACCUGGGGACUGCGCUUAAUACAGGCAGUCUAGAGUGAGGAAGAGGGUUGUGGAAUUCCCAGUGUAGAGGCGAAAUUCGUAGAUAUUGGGAAGAACACCAGUGGCGAAGGCGACUCACUGGCUCAUUACUGACGCUGAGGCUCGAAAGCGUGGGGAGCAAACAGGAUUAGAUACCCCAGUAGUCCCUGUCUCUUAUAC